Long non-coding RNA from Bombus terrestris (buff-tailed bumblebee), 2828 nucleotides. RefSeq lists it as uncharacterized. The record is from RefSeq and is a predicted model, not a curated record. NCBI's taxonomy places the organism in Eukaryota, Metazoa, Arthropoda, Insecta, Hymenoptera, Apidae. The transcript is spliced from 2 exons.
UUUUUUUUUUUUUGUAAGUAACGAGUAACGAGUAAAAUGGCUCGCGCUUUCCCAGUCACAAGGCUUGACAGAUUGCCAUCGAUCCGCGUAAUUAACUGCUCCGAGAACGGAUCGUGAGCACUGCCAAUUUGCAUAAUUGGGUCGGCAUUGUUAAAACGUUAUUUACGCGGCUUCAUAAAUUCAACCGAGCCCUUCCGCGAUUAAUGCUCCGGUCGUACAAGUCCGCUCGCCUAGACGCGGAGAAAUAUUCGAAAACUUCAAGCUCCUGAAUUAACAAAGACUUUACAUCAUUCCGGUGAUAUAAGUCGAAACGUCAUAAUGUAAUAAUGCUUCAACGUCACGAAAUUACAAUACCGCGAUAUCAAGAUUAUAACAACGUUCUGGGUAUAGAAGGUGGCAGUAUUUUUUCCUCGGUAGACGGCUGUUAAUGUGCGCUACCGGCCAUACGUAUUUGGCUACUUUUAAAUUAUUGCACAUUUAUAACAUAUACCUUAAACGAGGCCCUCUUUAACCUAAUUUUGCCUUCUGAUCUCAUUUCACGCAAGUGCGAUACAGUUGGAAGAUAUCGAUAAAAGUAACAGGUAGCUAUUAUUAGUUUGUAUUAAUAAAACGACAGUAAUUGAAAAUUGAUGAAAAUUGAUGCCGGUCUAAGUGACUUUAAACGCGAGUCUGUUCAAUCUUGAGAUCUCAGGACGAUUAAAUUACACGUUUCUAGCCAUAUUUUGAAAGCUAUUUAUCACAGAUAAACGUGGAACUCUCGUGUGACCAGGAUCUCGUUAAUAGAUAAGUAUCUGCAACAUGUGUGUACAUAUUCUCUGUUUCAUAUUAAGAGUAGACAAAUUGAUCCCAGUUACAGCGAGAAUGAACAAUGGAGAAACGUUGGUGAAUGGUAUCAUCGAAAAUAGAAGGAAAGAUCUUUCGAUCAAAUUGCGCUAGAUAUUUUGUGUUCGUAGGUAAAUGUGUUAAACAUUUGUACUUACGGAGAUUCUACGUAACACGCUUAUGUUCACAGAGAUUAUAUGUAUAUAUAAUGAUCAAAUCACUUUACAGCUCGACCUAUCCCGAUCGGGUUCAAGGCUGAACGGUUGAAACGUCAGUUACAGAAGCAUAUCGAGAGCAAUUUCGCAGCAACAAUUAUUCGCGAUGGAAUAUUCGAAAUAACGAUGUACUCGUUUCUCGAGCUGUUGCUUCCGUACAAAUGAAAGCAUUUACCGCGGUUUCGAGCAUGUCAUUCGUUUCGCCGCAUAAACUCAGGGAUACGCGAGUGCCACUCGUCCGGCAGGAUCAGGAUAAUAAACGGUCGCGCGGUUGGAGAGAGGAGUACGGCGCAAAUUGAUACGCGAAAUAUAAGAUUUCGUUGGUGUUUCAUUAACUCGACCUACAUACACACGCACGCUGUUGGCCGUGCGUGUGCGUACUCUCGGCAGAAAAAUGUAUAUCGCUGGUAAAUUGGCCGGCGAUUCGUUGCCUUUCGUUUCGUUUUGUCUGCUUUUCAGAGCAGAAGUUACUUUCGUCCCGUAUAUCGUCGUUUUAUCGUGCAACAGCGAUCGAUUCGGGAAAAUGUCGAAAGAUCGAGGGGAUUUUGAAAGUUCGACAGCGUCCGCCGAGUGAAGCCAGAAAGAUCAAUAUGGCGACAACAGGAGGAACCGGAUCCGCGCACGGUCGUAUUCCGCGCAUGCAUCUUGUGCUUUCCUACCAAUUCUACCUUCGCCACUGAUAUCGAUGCCCUCUAUUUUCGCUUCUCUUCGCGCUCACUGAUAUCAGUGCCCUCUUGCUCACCCUCCUUCGCGCCACUGAUAACUGCUACAUAUAUAUAGCAUAUCAGCCUGCAGCAUUUGCUAUUUUAUCACUAACGGUGGUACAGAUACGAGUGAUAGAUUUUAUGCCGAGAGCCAUUGUACGUUGUACACUGUUUGUUUAUAGUUUAUAGCGUUUUACGGAAGCGAUCACUAAAAAAUGGAUCUUUGUGAAUUAAUUGAUAGUAGGAGGAAGAGAUUCAGAGAGCAUAUCGGAGAAAGCUUUGCGUUGCCAUUCUGACAAAGAAACAAAUAAGCCGAGAGCUGCUGAGUUUUUUCAUAAAUUACCCGGAGCCUUGGAAAUUCUGACCGGCUCAUCGGCUCGAGAUAUUUUCAAUAUGCUCAAUUUUCUAUUAUAUUGCUUGUUUAAGUUAUUGGUGACAUAUUUUGUUUGCAAAAAAUUGAAUCGCGUUGGACAAAAUUUCAAGCACCAAGCGAGGAGGAAGAUUGAGUACCAAACGAUUUUGGAAAAAGAUUGGAAGGACAUUUGGAGGCAAGAGAAAGAGAGAGAGAGAGAGAGAGAGCUAAUUCUACAAAUGAUGACACAUUAAUUGUAGAAAUUUUUUUACUUUACUUUCUUUUAAGUUUAUUUUUUCCGUAGAAAACGGCACUGCAUUGAUCACUGUUUCAUUGAUGCAGGCUUUAAUGGAGAAGUUGAGGAAAGUAGGCAACGGGCAAUUACAGCAGCUCGUAAUAGUUUAAAACGACGUAAGCUCGCGACAAACCUAUGAAACAGCGAAAGGUAACAGAAAAUGGUAACAGACAAUAUUUACUUUUUUAUUUCGUUACUUACCUUCUUUUUAUUGAUACGUAGAUAAAAGUAUGCUAUCGUAGCUUGAACGAUCCGUACCGACUAACAUGAAACAAACGCAAGAAAGAAAAAGAAAGUAUCGAGCAAAGUAAGACAUAUGAUCUAUGAGCCAAAAUUUACGAGUAAUAAAAUUUGCAAAUAAUUGUACAAAUUUUUUCUGAACAUAUGUGUAUACAUGCUUUAUAAUUCAUUAAAAAAUUAGGCAACGAAAAAUUCAAAAA